AAAAACACAAGAAACAAAAUCUGACUGAAGAGUGGAGAUAUCCUGUAUAAUGCCCUAAAUACUGAUUGCAAUUGGGGAUCAGCUCAAAGCUGCAAUAAUCACAUUUGAGGAGUCUCCUUCCACUAUAAUUUGCUUGAAACCUCUUGUUUUUGCUAGAACUGGAGCCCCCCCUGCAUGCUAGUGCCUUUAAAACGAAAGGAUCUGUGAUGUUUGGGAAUCUUUUGCAAAACCAACCACAAGGCCUACUCCCUGAAUCUCUAGCUAGAGCAGCAAUCGAACUCCUAUUAGAUGCUGAAUUCAUAGCCCCACCAAUAUUGAUCUUAACAUAAUUAU
Molecule: unclassified non-coding RNA, 333 nt
Filed under: Hevea brasiliensis (rubber tree)
Lineage: Eukaryota; Viridiplantae; Streptophyta; Magnoliopsida; Malpighiales; Euphorbiaceae
Source: RNAcentral